GACGAACGCUGGCGGCGUGCUUAACACAUGCAAGUCGAACGGAAAGGCCCUGCUUUUGUGGGGUGCUCGAGUGGCGAACGGGUGAGUAACACGUGAGUAACCUGCCCUUGACUUUGGGAUAACUCCAGGAAACUGGGGCUAAUACCGGAUAGGAGCUCCUGCUGCAUGGUGGGGGUUGGAAAGUUUCGGCGGUUGGGGAUGGACUCGCGGCUUAUCAGCUUGUUGGUGGGGUAGUGGCUUACCAAGGCUUUGACGGGUAGCCGGCCUGAGAGGGUGACCGGCCACAUUGGGACUGAGAUACGGCCCAGACUCCUACGGGAGGCAGCAGUGGGGAAUAUUGCACAAUGGGCGGAAGCCUGAUGCAGCAACGCCGCGUGCGGGAUGACGGCUUUCGGGUUGUAAACCGCUUUCGCCUGUGACGAAGCGUGAGUGACGGUAAUGGGUAAAGAAGCACCGGCUAACUACGUG
This 468-nucleotide ribosomal RNA is filed under the name uncultured bacterium. RNAcentral describes it as "partial 16S ribosomal RNA". It matches the Rfam family "Bacterial small subunit ribosomal RNA", at positions 28 to 507 of the family's 1533-position model. The record is from RNAcentral.